Molecule: non-coding RNA, 306 nt
Organism: Pelobates cultripes (western spadefoot toad)
Lineage: Eukaryota; Metazoa; Chordata; Amphibia; Anura; Pelobatidae
Source: the annotation of a GenBank genome assembly
GUAUUCCUAAUGCUAUAGAGUUAUUUUUAUAUUCUUCCAUUCUGGUAAAAGGCUACGUGGAGAAAUUGGAAACAGGGAAAUAAAUGUAAGUGACCUAUUUGAAGUCAAAUCAGUAUUCUAACAGGCUACCUCGUGUUUUCAGCCUUUCGGAAUACAGAUGAUAUUCAAAUCGUGGUCAGUGAUCAGAAAUCCCUAGAUGAGGUAAAGCUAAUGGCUGGCUCCAGUCUGCUAUCACUACAGAAUUCUUUGGACAAUCAAAGUGAAAUAGGAUUUUUUUAUAACUAUUACACAUAUUUUCACUUCCCU